This 299-nucleotide long non-coding RNA is filed under the name Medicago truncatula (barrel medic). RNAcentral's name for it is "long non-coding RNA (MTRU_LNC000902)". The record is from RNAcentral. Lineage: Eukaryota; Viridiplantae; Streptophyta; Magnoliopsida; Fabales; Fabaceae.
ACCCUAUGUUUUUCUGGUUACACCCAAAUUUUCUUAAAUUUUUUUAUAAUACCAAAAUUGCCCUUUUAUAUAAAUAUUCUUAAAACCCUAAUUUUAUUCAUUGUCAGUGAGUUUCACCCUCUUUCACCCCACAAAGUGAUCGAUCAAACAAUUUGAUGUUCAAUAUCAAUCUCCAUGAAAAUUAAAGAGUGAAUCAAAAUAUUUUUCAUCCAUACUCAAUUGGAUAUAAGUAAGUGAAUUUCUUCUUCUAUUUGCUAGUUUCAAUUUUUUUCCUUCAACUGCAAUGAUGCACUGUACGA